This 253-nucleotide ribosomal RNA is filed under the name uncultured bacterium. RNAcentral describes it as "partial 16S ribosomal RNA". It matches the Rfam family "Bacterial small subunit ribosomal RNA", at positions 524 to 776 of the family's 1533-position model. The record is from RNAcentral.
UACGUAGGGUGCGAGCGUUAAUCGGAAUUACUGGGCGUAAAGCGUGCGCAGGCGGUUUUGUAAGCCAGAUGUGAAAGCCCCGGGCUUAACCUGGGAAUGGCAUUUGGGACUGCAAGGCUUGAGUGCGGCAGAGGAGACUGGAAUUCCUGGUGUAGCAGUGAAAUGCGUAGAUAUCGUAAGGAACGCCAGUGGCGAAAGCGAAUCUCUGGGCAGCAACUGACGCUGAGGCACGAAGGCCAGGGGAGCAAACGGG